RNAcentral lists this ribosomal RNA (465 nucleotides) under uncultured bacterium. RNAcentral describes it as "partial 16S ribosomal RNA". It matches the Rfam family "Bacterial small subunit ribosomal RNA", at positions 339 to 795 of the family's 1533-position model. The record is from RNAcentral.
CUACGGGUGGCUGCAGUGGGGAAUAUUGGACAAUGGGGGAAACCCUGAUCCAGCAAUGCCGCGUGUGUGAAGAAGGCCUGCGGGUUGUAAAGCACUUUCGGUUGGGAGGACUGCUUCUAGCACUAAUAUUGUUGGAAGUUGACGUUACCUUCAGAAGAAGCACCGGCUAACUCCGUGCCAGCAGCCGCGGUAAUACGGAGGGUGCAAGCGUUAAUCGGAAUUACUGGGCGUAAAGCGCACGUAGGCGGCUAGAUCAGUCGGGUGUGAAAGCCCCGGGCUUAACCUGGGAACUGCAUCCGAUACUGUCUAGCUUGAGUACAGGAGAGGAGAGUGGAAUUCCACAUGUAGCGGUGAAAUGCGUAGAUAUGUGGAGGAACACCAAUGGCGAAGGCAGCUCUCUGGCCUGAUACUGACGCUGAGGUGCGAAAGUGUGGGGAGCAAACAGGAUUAGAUACCCGUGUAGUC